UACGGAGGGAGCUAGCGUUGUUCGGAAUUACUGGGCGUAAAGCGCACGUAGGCGGCUCUUUAAGUCAGAGGUGAAAUCCCAGGGCUCAACCCUGGAACUGCCUUUGAAACUGGGAAGCUAGAAUCUUGGAGAGGCGAGUGGAAUUCCGAGUGUAGAGGUGAAAUUCGUAGAUAUUCGGAGGAACACCAGUGGCGAAGGCGGCUUACUGGCUCGAUACUGACGCUGAGGUGCGAAAGCGUGGGGAGCAAACAGG
RNAcentral lists this ribosomal RNA (253 nucleotides) under uncultured bacterium. Its description in RNAcentral is "partial 16S ribosomal RNA". It matches the Rfam family "Bacterial small subunit ribosomal RNA", at positions 524 to 776 of the family's 1533-position model. The record is from RNAcentral.